Molecule: long non-coding RNA, 1034 nt
Filed under: Androctonus crassicauda
Lineage: Eukaryota; Metazoa; Arthropoda; Arachnida; Scorpiones; Buthidae
Source: RNAcentral
AUAUACUAUCUAUAUAAAUUUUUAUUAAAUAUUAUUGUUUCCUAAUAAUUUGAGCAGAAAUUUCUAAAAUUUUACAGUCAAUUCAAAAAGCCAAAUCGACAGCCAUAAAAAUUAAAUGAAGCUUGACCAAAAAAAUUUGCUAAUUAUUGCUUUUGCCCAAUCAUAAUAUUUACAGGUGGUUCCAGACCUGGUAGUGAUGAUCGUUAUGGUUAUGACAGCUAUGGAGGUGCACCCUCCUACAACCAAUCACGCGAUAAUUAUGGUGGUUCAGCCCCAAGUUAUGGCCCUCCUCGUGGAAGUGGUGCUCCACCCCCGCGUCAUUAUUAGUUCGAGAAGGAAGCACCAACUGUCAUUUACAUUGAUUACUAUUUACAAGAUGUUUAUAAAUUCAUUUAAUUGUCCAAUUUUGUAGGAAUACUUGUAUCAAUGACUAUGAUUGACAUUUCAUGUUUCAAAGAAAAUGUACAGUUUUACAUUUAAGCUUUUUAAUCCAUUUUACUGAAAACCAUAGAAAACAAAUAAUUGAUAAAUGAUCACAGUUCUUCAUUGCUCAUUUUUGAUUCAUAGUAACUCAUGUAUUUGGGUUUUUGUUUAACAUAUACUUUGCUGUAUAUAGAUAUCAUUGUUAGCAAUCAUUACGUUUUUAAAAAAGGCAAAACAACUUCAUUGUAACAAUCUACUAAUGAAGAGUUUUUUGUAAUGUGAUAUGUUUGGUGGAAUAUCCUUAGAAUCAAUAGUAUAAUCUAUCAUCCGUCAUCUUCACUGAAUUAAAUGUAUGUGACCUUUGUUGUGAAAAUAUAGUUGUAUUUCUGUAUUUACAGAAAAGUUGGUGCAUGAGUAAUAUGAAUUAAUGCUUAAAUAAAGUAAAAGAUUUUAAAUAAGUAUAUUUGAAGAAGUAAUAAAGUUAUUUAAACAAAAUUAAUUCAAUAAUAUCAACAAUGGAAACAAUUUUAAAUUCUAAUUUUGAAAAAAAAUUUACAUCAUUAAAUUUGAUAAUGUGACCAAAUUUCAUUUAUAAUUACAAUUAAAAUUCG